Molecule: RNA transcript, 2775 nt
Organism: Panicum hallii
Lineage: Eukaryota; Viridiplantae; Streptophyta; Magnoliopsida; Poales; Poaceae
Gene name: polygalacturonate 4-alpha-galacturonosyltransferase-like
Exons: 11
Source: RefSeq, a predicted model, not a curated record
UGGGCAUUAAACGCCGCGGCCUCGAGGAUUCAGCAUCGGGUGCUUUCCGUUACGUUCCUGGCUUCCUCGCCUCUGCACACCGCUCCCCACUCUCCCAAGGAAGCGAAGCGAGCGCACGCGCCCCGCCCCUCCGGGGAGCCCCCGCCCGCCGCGCAGCCGAUGCCGACCCCGAAGCAGCGGCUCCCCUACUCCACCGCCGGCGGGGGCGGAGGGGGGAGGCGCGCCGCCUCCGGCUCCGGCGUGCUGCCCCCCGUGGUGGUCCUCGUGUUCCUCUUCGUGGUCGCGCCUUCGCUCUUCUUCGUCGUGCGCAAUGGAGGCCGCGGCCACGUCCACGUCGCCUCCGAUCCCAAGGUUAGGAAUGGCGAUCAGGAAGCAGUGGCAAUGGCGAAUCUAAAAUCUAUUUUGCCAAAGGAGGUGAUUGAUGCUAUAGCUGCUAAUCAACAAGAAGUAGGCACAUUGAGUCUCAACUUUUUUAGGAAUCAUGAAUCUCCCUCAUGGAAAACUGAUGAUCUAGUCACUGAAAAGGGCAUUUAUGUCAAUGACAAGGCUAAAGCUGAAAACAGUGCUGCAGAACAUGAUUUACCAACAAAUAAAUCACCCAAAGAUCCAGAUGAACAUCAAGUUGACACAGCAGUAAAAAUAGCUCGAAGGAAACUAAGGGAGAAGAGACGCGAGAAGAGAGCAAUGGAUUUGCUGCAUAAAGAUGAUGAAGCGCGUGUUAAGCUGGAGAAUGCCGCUAUUGAGCGAUCAAAGGCGGUCGAUUCUGCUGUGCUUGGAAAAUAUAGCAUAUGGAGGAAAGAGAAUGAGAAUGAGAAUUCAGACACUACAGUUAGGUUGAUAAGGGACCAAAUUAUUAUGGCUCGUGUCUAUUCUGCGCUUGCUAAGUCAAAGAACAAGAGUGGUCUAUUUCAAGAACUGCAGACCCGAAUCAAGGAAAGCCAGCGGGCUGUUGGAGAGGCUGCUGCUGAUGCUGACCUGCAUCACAGCGCUCCUGAGAAAAUCAGAGCAAUGGGUCAAGUUUUAUCAAAGGCUAGAGAAGAAGUGUAUGAUUGCAGAGCGAUAACUCAGAGACUAAGGGCUAUGCUUCAGUCAGCUGAUGAACAGGUCAGGAGCUUGAAGAAGCAGAGUACAUUUCUUAGCCAGUUGGCUGCAAAGACAAUUCCAAAUAGCAUUCACUGCUUGUCUUUGCGACUGACAAUUGAUUACUAUCUCCUCCCCCUGGAGAAACGGAAAUUCCCAAGGAGUGAGAAUUUAGAAAAUCCAAGUCUCUACCACUAUGCACUUUUCUCAGACAACGUCUUGGCAGCUUCUGUUGUUGUGAACUCGACCAUCAUGAAUGCCAAGGAACCAGAGAAACAUGUAUUCCAUCUUGUGACUGAUAAGUUAAACUUUGGAGCCAUGAACAUGUGGUUUCUGCUGAACCCCCCGGGCAAGGCCACCAUCCAUGUUGAGAAUGUGGAUGAAUUUAAGUGGUUGAACUCAUCGUACUGUCCUGUGCUGCGGCAACUUGAGUCUGCUUCCAUGAAAGAGUACUAUUUCAAAGCUGAUCGCCCCACCACUCUCUCAGCAGGUUCUUCAAACCUAAAGUAUCGGAACCCCAAGUACCUCUCUAUGCUGAACCACUUGAGGUUUUAUCUCCCGGAGGUCUAUCCAAAGUUGGAUAAGAUACUUUUCCUCGAUGAUGACAUAGUCGUGCAGAAAGAUUUGACAGGAUUGUGGGAUGUUGAUCUUGAUGGAAAGGUCAAUGGUGCUGUGGAGACCUGUGGGGAGAGUUUCCACCGUUUUGACAAGUACCUUAAUUUUUCAAAUCCACAUAUUGCUCGGAACUUUGAUCCAAAUGCAUGUGGCUGGGCUUAUGGGAUGAACAUCUUUGAUCUGAAGGAGUGGAAGAAGAAAGAUAUUACUGGGAUCUACCACAAAUGGCAAACCAUGAAUGAAGACAGAGUUCUUUGGAAGCUUGGGACACUUCCGCCUGGCCUCCUGACCUUCUACAAAUUGACGCAUCCCCUGGAUAAGUCCUGGCACGUUCUUGGAUUAGGAUACAACCCAAGCAUAGACCGUUCGGAGAUAGACGGUGCUGCUGUUGUUCAUUACAAUGGGAACAUGAAGCCAUGGUUGGAGCUGGCAAUGACCAAAUACCGACCAUACUGGACCAAGUAUAUCAAGUAUGAUCACCCUUAUCUCCGUGGAUGCAACUUGAGUGAGUAGAUAGACGUGAAGACUGAAGAAAAACUGACGGAGAGGAGCCAGCUGGACAGAAGUGUUUACUCCCAUGUCCUUGCGGUACCGUACUUUUGGAUCCAUUCGGUCUGUCCUGUGGUCAGUUUCUUUCACAACAUGGGAUGGCCCUUGGAGAAAUAAUGGGCAAGGUGAACAAAUUUCUCGCAAGUUGCAGCAUAAGCCUUGGCAUGUUAUGCUCAUCACCGGUCACCACGGCUGAAUAUGAGGUGCAGUAGAUCAGUGGGUCAUGAUAACUGAUAAGCGCAGUGGUCGUAGCCGGCGGCGUUGUACCAACCGAAGCAUGGACGCCGAUCUCUUUACUUUUAGACAGACAAUUGUCAGACCGUUCUCUUUCCCAUUAAACAACGCUUCCAGUCCAUUUUUCGUUUUUGCUUACACCCAGCCAGGAUAGUGAGAGUAAUUGCUAGUAAAAAUGUGAAGGGUCCAUUCUGCUUAAAGGGUGUGAUGGUAAGUGUGUGUGCGCGUGCCGUGUCUGCCAUUAUAUUACUCCAGGAGCAAUGCUUAUGAAAACGCUUUGACAAUUUUACUAUUCCA